Molecule: ribosomal RNA, 2902 nt
Filed under: Escherichia coli
Lineage: Bacteria; Pseudomonadati; Pseudomonadota; Gammaproteobacteria; Enterobacterales; Enterobacteriaceae
Description: 23S ribosomal RNA
Rfam family: Bacterial large subunit ribosomal RNA
Source: RNAcentral
UUAAGCGACUAAGCGUACACGGUGGAUGCCCUGGCAGUCAGAGGCGAUGAAGGACGUGCUAAUCUGCGAUAAGCGUCGGUAAGGUGAUAUGAACCGUUAUAACCGGCGAUUUCCGAAUGGGGAAACCCAGUGUGAUUCGUCACACUAUCAUUAACUGAAUCCAUAGGUUAAUGAGGCGAACCGGGGGAACUGAAACAUCUAAGUACCCCGAGGAAAAGAAAUCAACCGAGAUUCCCCCAGUAGCGGCGAGCGAACGGGGAGCAGCCCAGAGCCUGAAUCAGUGUGUGUGUUAGUGGAAGCGUCUGGAAAGGCGCGCGAUACAGGGUGACAGCCCCGUACACAAAAAUGCACAUGCUGUGAGCUCGAUGAGUAGGGCGGGACACGUGGUAUCCUGUCUGAAUAUGGGGGGACCAUCCUCCAAGGCUAAAUACUCCUGACUGACCGAUAGUGAACCAGUACCGUGAGGGAAAGGCGAAAAGAACCCCGGCGAGGGGAGUGAAAAAGAACCUGAAACCGUGUACGUACAAGCAGUGGGAGCACGCUUAGGCGUGUGACUGCGUACCUUUUGUAUAAUGGGUCAGCGACUUAUAUUCUGUAGCAAGGUUAACCGAAUAGGGGAGCCGAAGGGAAACCGAGUCUUAACUGGGCGUUAAGUUGCAGGGUAUAGACCCGAAACCCGGUGAUCUAGCCAUGGGCAGGUUGAAGGUUGGGUAACACUAACUGGAGGACCGAACCGACUAAUGUUGAAAAAUUAGCGGAUGACUUGUGGCUGGGGGUGAAAGGCCAAUCAAACCGGGAGAUAGCUGGUUCUCCCCGAAAGCUAUUUAGGUAGCGCCUCGUGAAUUCAUCUCCGGGGGUAGAGCACUGUUUCGGCAAGGGGGUCAUCCCGACUUACCAACCCGAUGCAAACUGCGAAUACCGGAGAAUGUUAUCACGGGAGACACACGGCGGGUGCUAACGUCCGUCGUGAAGAGGGAAACAACCCAGACCGCCAGCUAAGGUCCCAAAGUCAUGGUUAAGUGGGAAACGAUGUGGGAAGGCCCAGACAGCCAGGAUGUUGGCUUAGAAGCAGCCAUCAUUUAAAGAAAGCGUAAUAGCUCACUGGUCGAGUCGGCCUGCGCGGAAGAUGUAACGGGGCUAAACCAUGCACCGAAGCUGCGGCAGCGACGCUUAUGCGUUGUUGGGUAGGGGAGCGUUCUGUAAGCCUGUGAAGGUGUACUGUGAGGUAUGCUGGAGGUAUCAGAAGUGCGAAUGCUGACAUAAGUAACGAUAAAGCGGGUGAAAAGCCCGCUCGCCGGAAGACCAAGGGUUCCUGUCCAACGUUAAUCGGGGCAGGGUGAGUCGACCCCUAAGGCGAGGCCGAAAGGCGUAGUCGAUGGGAAACAGGUUAAUAUUCCUGUACUUGGUGUUACUGCGAAGGGGGGACGGAGAAGGCUAUGUUGGCCGGGCGACGGUUGUCCCGGUUUAAGCGUGUAGGCUGGUUUUCCAGGCAAAUCCGGAAAACUAAGGCUGAGGCGUGAUGACGAGGCACUACGGUGCUGAAGCAACAAAUGCCCUGCUUCCAGGAAAAGCCUCUAAGCAUCAGGUAACAUCAAAUCGUACCCCAAACCGACACAGGUGGUCAGGUAGAGAAUACCAAGGCGCUUGAGAGAACUCGGGUGAAGGAACUAGGCAAAAUGGUGCCGUAACUUCGGGAGAAGGCACGCUGAUAUGUAGGUGAAGUCCCUCGCGGAUGGAGCUGAAAUCAGUCGAAGAUACCAGCUGGCUGCAACUGUUUAUUAAAAACACAGCACUGUGCAAACACGAAAGUGGACGUAUACGGUGUGACGCCUGCCCGGUGCCGGAAGGUUAAUUGAUGGGGUCAGCGCAAGCGAAGCUCUUGAUCGAAGCCCCGGUAAACGGCGGCCGUAACUAUAACGGUCCUAAGGUAGCGAAAUUCCUUGUCGGGUAAGUUCCGACCUGCACGAAUGGCGUAAUGAUGGCCAGGCUGUCUCCACCCGAGACUCAGUGAAAUUGAACUCGCUGUGAAGAUGCAGUGUACCCGCGGCAAGACGGAAAGACCCCGUGAACCUUUACUAUAGCUUGACACUGAACAUUGAGCCUUGAUGUGUAGGAUAGGUGGGAGGCUUUGAAGUGUGGACGCCAGUCUGCAUGGAGCCGACCUUGAAAUACCACCCUUUAAUGUUUGAUGUUCUAACGUUGACCCGUAAUCCGGGUUGCGGACAGUGUCUGGUGGGUAGUUUGACUGGGGCGGUCUCCUCCUAAAGAGUAACGGAGGAGCACGAAGGUUGGCUAAUCCUGGUCGGACAUCAGGAGGUUAGUGCAAUGGCAUAAGCCAGCUUGACUGCGAGCGUGACGGCGCGAGCAGGUGCGAAAGCAGGUCAUAGUGAUCCGGUGGUUCUGAAUGGAAGGGCCAUCGCUCAACGGAUAAAAGGUACUCCGGGGAUAACAGGCUGAUACCGCCCAAGAGUUCAUAUCGACGGCGGUGUUUGGCACCUCGAUGUCGGCUCAUCACAUCCUGGGGCUGAAGUAGGUCCCAAGGGUAUGGCUGUUCGCCAUUUAAAGUGGUACGCGAGCUGGGUUUAGAACGUCGUGAGACAGUUCGGUCCCUAUCUGCCGUGGGCGCUGGAGAAUUGAGGGGGGCUGCUCCUAGUACGAGAGGACCGGAGUGGACGCAUCACUGGUGUUCGGGUUGUCAUGCCAAUGGCACUGCCCGGUAGCUAAAUGCGGAAGAGAUAAGUGCUGAAAGCAUCUAAGCACGAAACUUGCCCCGAGAUGAGUUCUCCCUGACUCCUUGAGAGUCCUGAAGGAACGUUGAAGACGACGACGUUGAUAGGCCGGGUGUGUAAGCGCAGCGAUGCGUUGAGCUAACCGGUACUAAUGAACCGUGAGGCUUAACCUU